This 78-nucleotide microRNA precursor is filed under the name Aotus nancymaae (Ma's night monkey). RNAcentral describes it as "miRNA (ENSANAG00000011211.1)". Lineage: Eukaryota; Metazoa; Chordata; Mammalia; Primates; Aotidae. The record is from RNAcentral.
UAGGUUGAUGCAAAAGUAAUCACGGUUUUGGCCAUUGAAAGUAAUGGCCAAAACCGUGAUUACUUUUGCACCAACCUA